GCCGGUGGAGCACGGGUGGCCGUGCGGCCGACUUGUAAUCGGCAGGUGCGGGUUCGACUCCCGCCGCCGGCUCCA
RNAcentral lists this transfer RNA (75 nucleotides) under Micromonospora craterilacus. RNAcentral describes it as "Jishengella sp. NA12 tRNA-Thr". It matches the Rfam family "tRNA". From Rfam's summary of the family: Transfer RNA (tRNA) molecules are approximately 80 nucleotides in length. Their secondary structure includes four short double-helical elements and three loops (D, anti-codon, and T loops). Further hydrogen bonds mediate the characteristic L-shaped molecular structure. tRNAs have two regions of fundamental functional importance: the anti-codon, which is responsible for specific mRNA codon recognition, and the 3' end, to which the tRNAs corresponding amino acid is attached (by aminoacyl-tRNA synthetases). tRNAs cope with the degeneracy of the genetic code in two manners: having more than one tRNA (with a specific anti-codon) for a particular amino acid; and 'wobble' base-pairing, i.e. permitting non-standard base-pairing at the 3rd anti-codon position. The record is from RNAcentral. Lineage: Bacteria; Bacillati; Actinomycetota; Actinomycetes; Micromonosporales; Micromonosporaceae.